Small nuclear RNA from Octopus sinensis (East Asian common octopus), 109 nucleotides. NCBI's taxonomy places the organism in Eukaryota, Metazoa, Mollusca, Cephalopoda, Octopoda, Octopodidae. The record is from RefSeq and is a predicted model, not a curated record.
GUAUACAUCUUUCGGUUGUACAUACACUAAAAUUGGAACGAUACUCAGAAGAUUAGCAUGGCCCUUGCGACAGGACGACACGCAAAUUCGUGAAACGUUCCAUACCUUU